Long non-coding RNA from Anarrhichthys ocellatus (wolf-eel), 1157 nucleotides. RefSeq lists it as uncharacterized. NCBI's taxonomy places the organism in Eukaryota, Metazoa, Chordata, Actinopteri, Perciformes, Anarhichadidae. The record is from RefSeq and is a predicted model, not a curated record. The transcript has 3 exons.
AGAGAGAUGUAUUUUUGGAACCUCUUUUGGAUUGUUAAGAUGCUUUGGAGACAAAGAACCGCCCAGCCCGAGGCCUGUUGCUCCGGUAUAUGAGUCACAACAGAGACGCCACAGACACUAACUUCCCUGUUGAAGACUCACUAACAGACUAACUGCUGCUGAGGUUAGCCGAGAACAUGAAAGCUCAGGUCGUGUUCCUGCUCUUGGUUUUGGCGGUCGGCCUUCAAGCGCAGAUGACAGCUUUUCUCCACGGGGACCAGAAAGUUGUUCCAGAGGAAGAGGCCUUAGAGGAAAUGAUGGGGAACAGGGAGACCCGCUCAAGGCCAGAAACAAGGAAACCUGUGAGGACGUGAAAGGUCGGACGGCAGAGAUCGUAUUGUUUCACUUUAUAAACGUCAUGCAAGCCGGUUGUUCAGACAUGUUUCUUUGUGCUGAUAUCGUGUGUGACGGUAGAACUUACUCCCCUCAAUGUUAACCAUGACAGACUGCAGAUGUACACCAGGCUGCACUUUCUUUUUAACACCAUUGCACGAUGUUAGACACAGUCAGGUGGCUCCCUCUUGAUUUAAGGUCAGUUUCACUGACAUCACUUUACCUUUAAAUGCAAACUAUCCUUAUAGUCUCAAACAACUUGUUGCUGAGCUCACUAUGAUAGCAAUACAUUACUUUUAAAUAUUCGUUCUCUGUCAUUUUGCUUAUUUAAAAAAGGUUUUCUCACCUUGGAACAAAUGUCAGUAAAGUUCCUCUGCUUAUUUAGAAAGUGAUUAUUGUUCAUUAGCUUGAGUCAAACCUCAGGGUGUGCUCUUGUUUCCUCCCGUAGUUAUUUCGUUUCUUGGUUAUUUGUUUUGUCAUUGUUGUGACGUGCAGAACAUUGUGUCUCGUACGGUUUCAUUUUCUAUUUGUGUUUUGGAGUACUUAAAGUACUUAAAGUACUUAAAGUACUUAAAAUAAAAGUACUCGAUGAGAGAAAUGGCCUUCUCUGAUAUAAUAGCCUUGUGUAUUACUGUUUUUGGAGAUUAACUGCACCGCAACAGAAAACAUAUAUAUAAAAAUAUAUAGAAAUACAAUACAAGACACAUUUGAAAAGAAAAAUGAAUCAAUUAAAUGAAAAUAUGCACAGGUUCUGUUAAAAGUGUUGCUCUUUAUUUUAGACAUAU